This 451-nucleotide ribosomal RNA is filed under the name uncultured bacterium. RNAcentral describes it as "partial 16S ribosomal RNA". It matches the Rfam family "Bacterial small subunit ribosomal RNA", at positions 28 to 507 of the family's 1533-position model. The record is from RNAcentral.
AGCGAACGCUGGCGGCAUGCCUAACACAUGCAAGUCGCACGGGGGGGCUUCGGCCUCCCAGUGGCGGACGGGUGAGGAACGCGUAGGGACCUGUCGAGGGGUGGGGGAUAACCGCGGGAAACUGCGGCUAAUACCGCAUGACGCCGCGGCGUGACAGCCGGGGCCAAAGGCGAAAGCCGCCCGCCGAGGGGCCUGCGUCCGAUUAGCUGGUCGGCGGGGUAGCGGCCCACCAAGGCGUCGAUCGGUAGCUGGUCUGAGAGGGUGAUCAGCCACACCGGGACUGAGACACGGCCCGGACUCCUACGGGAGGCAGCAGUGGGGAAUAUUGGACAAUGGGCGCAAGCCUGAUCCAGCAAUGCCGCGUGGGUGAAGAAGGUCUUCGGAUUGUAAAGCCCUUUCGGCGGGGACGAUGGUGACGGUACCCGCAGAAGAAGCCCCGGCUAACUUCGUG